AUAACACUUAGCUCUUAUUAUAUUAUUAUACUUACAACUCUUCAUUCAGACUCCUUUGCUCAAACACUUUCUCUCAAUUUCUGAAUAUUUACGCUCUCAAGUAGCUGGACAGUAGGUGUAAGUGACCACCUUUUACAAUAUACUCAUUGAUGGUGCGCAUAAGCUGGGUGUACACUUCUACUGAAAUAUUGGCAUAGAACUUUAUUGCAAUAGUUCCAAGUGUUGGAGCCUCAAAAAUGUCGAGCGGAGAUGGAAGAAAAGUCUCUUGUGAAGAUAUACAAAUGGUGCAAAAUCGGAUAGAGCAGUGUCUACGGCAAUACAUGAGUCGAAAAGAAGUUGUGAACACUCUCUUCAUCCAGGACAACAUAGAGCCUAGAUUUACUGAACUCGUUUGGCAGAAACUAGAAGAAGAAAAUCAGGAGUUUUUUCAAGCAUAUUACCUGAAGCUGAUGGUGAAAGAGCAAAUAAUUGAGUUCAAUAGGUUGCUUGCAGAACAGGUGAAGAUGACGCAGCAAGUUCCAAGUGCAAUUGCUUCUCUACCUAUGUCCAAUGGGUGUAAUAUUUCCCCAUUGCAUCAAAACUCAACUUGCCAUCCUGCAGAAAAUGUUGGAACUGCUGCAAAGCCUAAUGGCAUGCAUGAGCCUAUACAUGCAGAUAGACACAAUGCAUUCAGUAAUUGCAGCUCGUCUGUUCUCUCUUGCAUGCAAACAGCAACUGAUAUUCCUGCCCAUAGCAGGAAAAUUGAUGUUCCUCCUGAUGUGUUUUUGGGCCAGCACUCUAAUAUGGGGAUGAGACAAACAUUGGAUGGGAGGAUUAUUAAGACAGAACCUGUUUAUGGUGGCAAUUCUCCGUUUGCCUUUGGUCCUCAUAGCAGUUACUUGGAGUCACGUGCUGCAAUGGGCGAUGCAUCUGUUUCGUCAUUUAGUAGUGUGGAGUCGAACACGCAGCCCCUUACUGAACCUCUUCUGGAUGCUGACACCACUUCAUUUGGAUUUUUAGGGGAAAUACCUCAAAAUUUUGGUUUCUCAGACUUGACUGCUGAUUUCACUAAUAGUUCUGAUAUACUGGAGAGCUAUGCUAGGACUCCCUUUCUAGCAACAGAUACAGACAACUUGCUUGAUUCAAAUGGAGGCAUUGAGAGAUUAACCAAUGCAUCAGAAAACUUGAGAUACAAUGGUUUCACUGGAGAUUGAUUGUGUAUAGUACAAUUGGAACUACAAUUGGAACACAUCUUGGUAGUUGUGCGUUGGAGGAUGAUUCGAUCAAACAAAUACACAACAGUAGGUUUUGUAUAUGCCGCUCAAAUUGUUUAGGAUAUUAGGAUUAUCUGGUAUUGUUGGUUGAGGUUUUCUUGGAGAAUAAUUCAAACAUGAUAGAUUUCAGUAGAGAUCUUGUACAAAGAGUUGAUUGUGACUUAGAAUAUUGUUACUUUAGCCACGCACAGCAUACUGUCUGAUUUGUAGUACAACUAUGGAACAGUGAUGAAGUUUAGUGUAUAUUGGACCAGGAAAUUGCAGCUUCUC
Nicotiana tabacum (common tobacco) is the source of this 1523-nucleotide RNA transcript. RefSeq lists it as uncharacterized. Lineage: Eukaryota; Viridiplantae; Streptophyta; Magnoliopsida; Solanales; Solanaceae. The record is from RefSeq and is a predicted model, not a curated record.